CAGAGGGUGCGAGCGUUAAUCGGGAUUUACUGGGCGUAAAGCGUGCGUAGGCGGCUUCUUAAGUCGGAUGUGAAAUCCCUGAGCUUAACUUAGGAAUUGCAUUCGAUACUGGGGAAGCUAGAGUAUGGGAGAGGAUGGUAGAAUUCCAGGUGUAGCGGUGAAAUGCGUAGAGAUCUGGAGGAAUACCGAUGGCGAAGGCAGCCAUCUGGCCUAAUACUGACGCUGAGGUACGAAAGCAUGGGAGCAAACAGGAUU
RNAcentral lists this ribosomal RNA (255 nucleotides) under uncultured bacterium. RNAcentral's name for it is "partial 16S ribosomal RNA". It matches the Rfam family "Bacterial small subunit ribosomal RNA", at positions 526 to 779 of the family's 1533-position model. The record is from RNAcentral.